Long non-coding RNA from Cygnus olor (mute swan), 466 nucleotides. RefSeq lists it as uncharacterized. The transcript is spliced from 3 exons. The record is from RefSeq and is a predicted model, not a curated record. NCBI's taxonomy places the organism in Eukaryota, Metazoa, Chordata, Aves, Anseriformes, Anatidae.
CUCCUCCUCCUCCCGGUGUCGCCGCUUCCCCUCCUCGUCCAGCGGGCGGCCCCGGUUCUCGGCUCCCCGCCCCGCGGCGCCGGGGCUGCCUCAGCCCGCAGCGGGGCUCUGAGCCGUGCCGCGAUGCUUAGCGCUGGCUUCCUGCUUGUUCUGGUGGAAGCAUCCAGUGUCGUCACAGGGAGGGUAAGACCUGGAGCAGUCAUGGAGAAAAGACUCAGAAACUGAGCAGCAAUUCAUUUGAGAGCCAGAGGAGGUGUGACACUGCUCCGUAGAUUGGGCUCAGUGCUAAUGGAAGAAGAACUCCGUGCUGCAGGUUGAAACGGGCAUGCGCAGAUGGGUUUGCUGAUGAGCUUAGCUCCCAGAAGAUCUCGUUCUUUUGAUUCUCCUGUUUUCAGCAUUACAGCCAAGUGUGGCUUCUAGAGAGAGCUGCUGUCCUCAGUCAGUCACAGGGCAAUCCCAAGGAUCU